This 803-nucleotide long non-coding RNA is filed under the name Zalophus californianus (California sea lion). RNAcentral's name for it is "lncRNA (ENSZCAG00015001179.1)". Lineage: Eukaryota; Metazoa; Chordata; Mammalia; Carnivora; Otariidae. The record is from RNAcentral.
GAUGUCAGACCAGUUUCCAACCACAAAAGAACUUGGAGCUCCCCUGGCAGAGAUUCAUGUUUUAUUCAUUCUAUUGUCCCCAGGGUCUAGUACAGUGCUUGACACGUGGUGGGCACCCAUCUGAAGUGAGAAGAACAAAAUGGCCGAGACAGGGUGCUAAGCCUGCACUUGGGCGUCAGGGAUGCAUAGUUCAGCUCAUCUGAUUUGAAGCGAGCUCUGAACUGCAUUCCACUUCCUCACAUUGACUCUACAUGAAAUUUGCCCAUGGCCUCGCUGCCUGGGAAGCCAGCGAGAGCCAAGAGGAGAGAAGGCCCCUUCCUUUAUGGAGUCCUGACCCCCAAGUGCGUCCCGGAUGGCGCAUCCCACCGCUGAGCUCCGUGACGCCAUUCCACCUCCCCUGGAAAGCCCAGCCAUACAUGGCCCGUGGAAGGCUGUGAUGGGCAAUAACAUCACAGUGGAGACAGCAAGCAUUUUUCAGGGAAGGGUGACUGAGUCACGUCUCUUUACGAAGGAGGCAGGGGAAGGCCCAGGUGGAGUCUCCCAACAGGUGUUUCAACAUGAGCACCCUUCAUGUCAAACCGUCAGUUAUGUGGUGACCGCUCUCGGUGAAUUACCCAGGACCCUUUUUCUGAAACCCAGUGACUGUCGCCCCCAGGAGAGGGACAAGCAAAGGAAAUGAAAUUCAACUUUCCACUCACUAGAAUUCUUAACAGAAACAGGUUUGUGGGAAGUGGACUGAGACAUUUGUCUAAAAUUGGAACUCUGGCUAAUGUGAGGGCUUGGAUCAGUGUUCUUCCCUCCAC